AGAGAGAGACAUGCGCGCAUAUCAAUAAGCGGAGGAAAAGAAACUAACAAGGAUUCCCUUAGUAACGGCGAGUGAAGCGGGAAGAGCUCAAAUUUGAAAUCUUCAAGGUUUUACCUUGACGAAUUGUAGUUUAAAGAAGUGUUUUCUGCUGAAGUUUUGGUAAAAGUUCUUUGGAAUUAGGACAUCAUAGAGGGUGAGAAUCCCGUAUUUGACCAUUAUUUUCAGCUUUGUGAUACGCUUUCAAAGAGUCGGAUUGUUUGGGAAUGCAGUCCAAAAUGGGUGGUAAAUUUCAUCUAAAGCUAAAUAUUGGCGAGAGACCGAUAGCGAACAAGUACCGUGAGGGAAAGAUGAAAAGAACUUUGAAAAGAGAGUUAAACAGUACGUGAAAUUGUCAAAAGGGAAGCGUUUGACACCAGUGUUGUUUUCUCGAAAAUCAAUUAAAAAUGGCUCGAUUUUGUAUUGCUGAGACCUUAAAAGCUCACUGUACAUUUUUCGUGUCUUUUUUAAUGCACUUUUCGUUCAACAAGUCAACAUCAGUUUCUUUUGUUGUAAAAGGGUCAUUGGAAGGUGGCUUUCUUUUCGGAGAAAGUGUUUAUAGCCUUUGGCCUCUGCAAUCGGAGAGACUGAGGUCUGUAGCGUAGACUCUUCGGGGUUAGAUACAUUUGUGCUAAGUUAUAGCUUUUUAUAGACAACUUGUUGACUAUAAUUAGUCUUGUAGCUUACUCGCUUAUGCUAUUUUACCUACGCUUAGGAUGUUGAGUCGUAGAGCACGCAG
RNAcentral lists this ribosomal RNA (775 nucleotides) under uncultured Neocallimastigales. RNAcentral's name for it is "partial large subunit ribosomal RNA". It matches the Rfam family "Eukaryotic large subunit ribosomal RNA", at positions 23 to 634 of the family's 3401-position model. The record is from RNAcentral. Lineage: Eukaryota; Fungi; Neocallimastigomycota; Neocallimastigomycetes; Neocallimastigales.